RNAcentral lists this unclassified non-coding RNA (329 nucleotides) under Coprinellus sp. RNAcentral describes it as "partial internal transcribed spacer region". The stretch from base 1 to 46 matches the Rfam family "Eukaryotic small subunit ribosomal RNA", at positions 1786 to 1831 of the family's 1831-position model. Lineage: Eukaryota; Fungi; Basidiomycota; Agaricomycetes; Agaricales; Psathyrellaceae. The record is from RNAcentral.
AAGUCGUAACAAGGUUUCCGUAGGUGAACCUGCGGAAGGAUCAUUAACGAAUAACUAUGGUGUUGGUUGUAGCUGGCUCCUCGGAGCAUUGUGCACGCCCGCCAUUUUUAUCUUUCCACCUGUGCACCGACUGUAGGUCUGGAUACCUCUCGCCUCCCUUCUCUUAGGGUUAAAGCGGAUGCGGGGAUUGCUCGCAAGGGCUCUCCUCGAACUUCCAGGCUCUACGUCUUUUUACACACCCCAAUAGUAUGAUCCAGAAUGGAUAGUCAAUGGGCUUUCAUAGCCUAUAAAACACUAUACAACUUUCAGCAACGGAUCUCUUGGCUCUC